GGUUUCUGCGGGAACAGGAAGCGCAGCUCCCGGCCGGGCCUCUCUAGGAGCUGGAGGAGCUCCGUCGUGUUAACCCUUCACUCCCCAGGCGGUGGGAACCUUUCUGUUUCGUUCAUCUCUCCUCGCUCCCCCCCAAACUGGCAGCUCCCUGCCCCCUGGCUUGUCCCACUCUGCACAACCCAGUGAAUUCCCACCCUGGCUGUGUUACAAUGGAGGACAAAGGGAUUAUCAGAGGGGCUCUAGAAACAGCCCUGAACUCUCUAGAAACAGGUGCCCAGAGCCCAGAUGACAUUGAUGAUGAUUAUUCUUUUGAGAGACCCCCAGGUGCGCAUGGCAAACCUGAAAAGUCAAGGUCUGUUUACCAGCGUGCUAGCCUUUUGCUGCUUUUAUGUCUAAAUCUUAGGCUUCUUCAUGGCCAGUUAGAGGCAGGAAUACUCGUCUGUGAUCUGUUCUGCUGAUUUAAUAUUGUUAUUAUUUAUUUAUAUGAUGGUACAGGCCAAAGGCCUCAGUCAGGAUUAGAGCUGCAGUUGUGCUGGGUAAUGAAGACGGUCCCUAUUGCAGGGAGUUUACAGUCCAAAAGAUCCUCAGCAGUGACAAAGAACGUGAAUAAUAAUAAUAAUGUGCAUUUAUUUAGUCCAUUCCAUCCUAGAGCUGUGAUGUUUGUCAGGGUGAUUUUAGUGACCGUUCUUGUCUACACUUAAACAUGACAUUGUCACCGCUGUAGUUGUGCUGCUGUAGUGCUUCAGUGUAGACACUCCCUGUGCCAACAUGAGAGGUUCUCCUGUGGGCAUAGGUAAUGCAUCUCUCCCUGAGAGACAGUAACUAGAUUGAUGGAAGAAUUCUUCCAUUCACCUAGUGCUGUCUACACAGGGCUUAGUUUAGCUUAAGUACCCCCUUCAGCAAUGUAGUUAUGCUGACCUAAUUUUCUAGUGCUACUUACUUGGAAGCGUUGUUGUAUUUGCAGAAUGGAAUCUUUUUCAAUUAAACCAAAAAUGUUUAUGCUUCUAGCCCUUGCAGAGAAAAUAUUCAAAAUGUGAAUUGUUGCUGUGGUGCCUUUGGGCUGGUCUACAAUGAAAACUUACAUCCGCAUAAGUGUCUACACUGAAGUGCUACAGUGAAGCAGCUGCAGCUAUGCCAUUGUAGCAUUUUAAGUAUAGACAUCAGGUUGCAGAGAGACAAGCUAAAUAACAGCUCUGCUGAUGAACUGCUCUAUUCAUGCAAAGAGGAAAUUAACUAGGGAGCUUAAUGAUAAUUUAAAUGUUAACAAUUACAGCUGUUCUUGCUGAUUAUUUUAGCAGAAACAUCCAGCUAAUGUGCUUAUCCAGUGUGGUUGGCUAUCGCAGAAGUAAGAGAUAGAAUAGACCUACUAUAUUCAGACUGUGGUGUGCAUUUGCAGCUCGCAAUUUGCUCCCUGCUUCCAUAGCUCCUUGGAGAGGAGACAACAAGAACUUAAGAUAGGAAGAGAGCAGAAAACCAACGUAGUGUACUAGACACGCUAAGCAGAUCUGUUUCUAAGCCAUUGCAGAGAGUCAGGAUGGAGGGCAGUGGAGAAGGAACAAGUCUGUUAGGACCGCCUGAGCAAGCUUUAAAACCAAGGAGUGCAGCUUACUCUUCUUGGUUCUGAAACGACUGGGAAGCCAGUGGAGGUAUUUUGGCAUGGUGCUGGUGGAAGGGCUAUAUUUGUCAAGAUCGAGUUUAGUUCCUCAAGAGCUCAGGGAGGCUGUUUGGAGAGACCACAAAGUAAAAUCAUUAUUGGAGAAAGCGGGUAAGAGGAGAGAAGAUCAUUGUUCGAACUAAGCCCGGGAAAUUGGAGGUUAAAACCACAGAGCUUCUUAACCCACUCUGCCCUAGAGAGGAUCAGCACACUCAGAGGGAGGAGGACUUAAUAAAGAUGGGACUUUCCUGUUCCCAGCCAAAUAUCGCUCCCAGCGCCAUGUGUCCGAAGCAACAGAAUCUGCAUCUCCAGUGAAAACAACACCCCUCCACUGACGUGCUAAGGGCAUGAAUCCCCGGGGAGCAGCUGGGAGCGGAGCUGGACCUGCUGAUGGCUGCUUCCGGGGCGCAGCGGUCC
Mauremys mutica (yellowpond turtle) is the source of this 2071-nucleotide RNA transcript. It is a transcript of the gene named zinc finger protein 239-like, with no coding region annotated. The record is from RefSeq and is a predicted model, not a curated record. NCBI's taxonomy places the organism in Eukaryota, Metazoa, Chordata, Testudines, Geoemydidae. The transcript is spliced from 2 exons.